This 74-nucleotide transfer RNA is filed under the name Planctomycetota bacterium. RNAcentral describes it as "tRNA-Phe". It matches the Rfam family "tRNA". Rfam says of the family: Transfer RNA (tRNA) molecules are approximately 80 nucleotides in length. Lineage: Bacteria; Pseudomonadati; Planctomycetota. The record is from RNAcentral.
GGGUCGCUAGCCCAACGGAAGAGCGCCGCGUUGAAGCCGCGGAGAUCCCGGAUCGAGACCGGGGCGACCCGCCA